RNAcentral lists this ribosomal RNA (466 nucleotides) under uncultured bacterium. RNAcentral describes it as "bacterial SSU rRNA". It matches the Rfam family "Bacterial small subunit ribosomal RNA", at positions 330 to 794 of the family's 1533-position model. The record is from RNAcentral.
CCCAGACUCCUACGGGAGGCAGCAGUGAGGAAUAUUGGUCAAUGGGCGGGAGCCUGAACCAGCCAAGCCGCGUGAAGGAAGAAGGCGCCAGGCGUCGUAAACUUCUUUUGUCGGGGAACAAAGGGCGCCACGCGUGGCGUUGUGAGUGUACCCGAAGAAAAAGCAUCGGCUAACUCCGUGCCAGCAGCCGCGGUAAUACGGAGGAUGCGAGCGUUAUCCGGAUUUAUUGGGUUUAAAGGGUGCGUAGGCGGUCCGGAAAGUCAGCGGUCAAAUGCGGGGGCUCAACCUGCGUCCGCCGUUGAAACUGGCGUUCUUGAGUGGGCGAGAAGUACGCGGAAUGCGCGGUGUAGCGGUGAAAUGCUUAGAUAUCGCGCAGAACCCCGAUUGCGAAGGCAGCGUACCGGCGCCACACUGACGCUGAGGCACGAAAGCGUGGGUAUCGAACAGGAUUAGAUACCCUCGUACA